This 135-nucleotide ribosomal RNA is filed under the name uncultured bacterium. Its description in RNAcentral is "partial 16S ribosomal RNA". It matches the Rfam family "Bacterial small subunit ribosomal RNA", at positions 355 to 482 of the family's 1533-position model. The record is from RNAcentral.
UGGGGAAUAUUGCACAAUGGGCGCAAGCCUGAUGCAGCCAUGCCGCGUGUAUGAAGAAGGCCUUCGGGUUGUAAAGUACUUUCAGCGAGGAGGAAGGCAUUGUGGUUAAUAACCGCAGUGAUUGACGUUACUCGC